GUGUCAGCCGCCGCGGUAAUACGGAGGGUGCAAGCGUUGUUCGGAAUUAUUGGGCGUAAAGCGCGCGCAGGCGGCUUCCCAAGUCUGAUGUGAAAGCCCGGGGCUCAACCUCGGAACUGCAUUGGAAACUGGGAGACUUGAGUAUGUGAGGGGUUAGUGGAAUUCCUGGUGUAGGGGUGAAAUCCGUAGAGAUCAGGAGGAACACCAGUGGCGAAGGCGACUGACUGGAACAUAACUGACGCUGAGGCGCGAAAGCGUGGGUAGCAAACAGGAUUAGAUACCCUGGUAGUCCACGCUGUAAACGAUGUUCACUAGCUGCUGUGCUCUUAGUUGGUGCAGUGGCGAAGCUAACGCAUUAAGUGAACCGCCUGGGGAGUACGGUCGCAAGAUUAAA
Molecule: ribosomal RNA, 394 nt
Filed under: uncultured bacterium
Lineage: Bacteria
Description: bacterial SSU rRNA
Rfam family: Bacterial small subunit ribosomal RNA
Source: RNAcentral